RNAcentral lists this long non-coding RNA (446 nucleotides) under Phasianus colchicus (ring-necked pheasant). RNAcentral describes it as "lncRNA (ENSPCLG00000019921.1)". Lineage: Eukaryota; Metazoa; Chordata; Aves; Galliformes; Phasianidae. The record is from RNAcentral.
GUUGGACAUCAGUUGUUUUUUUGUUGUUGUUUUGGCUUUCCUGAGAUUGGACCAGACAUGGGAGCCUUAGGGCAUCCAGCAGAGGUCCCCCACAGCUUGCUGCUGUCAGCGCAGCCAGUGCCUGGAGAGGGGGAGGUGGAGCUGGGGAACCUUCCUGCAGCAUCUGCACGAAAUCAGGAACAGCACUUGAGGACCACUGCUGAUGGCAGGUAUGACAAUGUGCAAGGAGGGGAUGUGUUGUGUGCCCAGAGAGCUAACGGGACCUAAUGUGACAUUAAUGGCCUUGGAGCAAUUUUUCUGAAGAGUGGACUCCUACAGAACCAAUAAGAGAUCAACUGUACCUGAAUGAGCUUUACUCACCAAAUGACCUUGAGAAAUGAUUGCAAGUAGAGCAUAUUUGCAAAUCAGUUCUGCCAUAGGAAUAAAACUCUGAACUUCACUCGUCA